ACAUGGAAACUAGGAUGUUGGCAGCUUUUAUAUCACGAUGGAUGAUACCUGCAUGAUGAAUAAAUUUUAAUGCCUGUAAGGUCUCUCUAAGGAUCAAAGAUAUGCAUGGUUCACUAAUGGGACCAGCCUCCAUCAAAGUACGCACGCUACCUCCAUGACAAUAAUCCAUUAUAAUCCAUAAAUUAGUACCUACCAAAUAAGAGCCAUGAUACUUUAUAAUGUUUUCGACAUCGGACUGUUUCAAUUCACUAAGAACAGCGACUUCUUUCUGAAUAUCAGAGACUUCAUCCUCAUCGGUAUCCAAAUUAAGAAUCUUGAUGGCAACAGUCUCUUUCGUUAAAUUGCAAAUUCUUUAGAAUGUUAGAAAAUGUAGAAAAGAAUCACUCGAAUAAUAUUCAUACCCUCUAUAGACUGCGCCGUACGAACCGCGUCCCACCAAUUCUAAUUUUGUGUACGGCGAAGAAGCAGUGUUAUUUUCCAUUUCUAAUAACUUUAGCUGCUUAGCAGAUACAUGAAGAAUUUUAAUUGAACAGGUUCAAUUCAAACUCCUUCAAUUCCCUUUCACUUUUUCUAUACUGCUGGUGGUAGCGGGUACGAAGGAAUUGAGUAGAUAUAUAUUGAAAAACUGUUUACUAUAAUACUCAAUUUGUGCAAUCCCUAA
This is a non-coding RNA of Schizosaccharomyces pombe (fission yeast), 661 nucleotides long. Lineage: Eukaryota; Fungi; Ascomycota; Schizosaccharomycetes; Schizosaccharomycetales; Schizosaccharomycetaceae. The record is from the annotation of a GenBank genome assembly.